UCUUUAUCCAGAGUGGCUGAGGGACAGGCCCGUCGAAGCCACGGCAACCACGCGAUAUCCAACGGUCGCGCUGCGGUGCCAAUUCCUGCUCCAAAGUCCGGCUGAAGC
Molecule: non-coding RNA, 108 nt
Filed under: Acidobacteriota bacterium
Lineage: Bacteria; Pseudomonadati; Acidobacteriota
Description: Acidobacteria bacterium SAM-I sequence
Rfam family: SAM riboswitch aptamer (S box leader)
About the family: The SAM riboswitch is found upstream of a number of genes which code for proteins involved in methionine or cysteine biosynthesis in Gram-positive bacteria.
Source: RNAcentral